This 4148-nucleotide long non-coding RNA is filed under the name Homo sapiens (human). RNAcentral describes it as "HSALNT0335206". Lineage: Eukaryota; Metazoa; Chordata; Mammalia; Primates; Hominidae. The record is from RNAcentral.
GUGAUCCCAGGGACUCAGGAGUCAUGGCAGAGGAAUUUAUUGCUUAGCAACCCAGACAAAUGUCAAGAGUCUUACCAAAUGCAGAUGAUGCUCUGUGGAAGAGACCUGCUUCAAGUCAGGUCAAGUAAAAACAACCUUGCCAGCAAGAUCCAUCAGUGAGGUCACUGAGAGAAGAGGAAACAUACACAAAGCUGCAUGAAAAAGAUAAUUCACCUUAUCAGUGCAACAGAAGUUUCAUAACAACGUAACUCCAGCAGGACACCUCCAUAUGAAUGGCUUUCCAUAGCACCAUACUGGGCAGAUUGCCAGCAAGUUCUACCAGCUUAGCACCACAGUGACUUCUCUGUCAUCUGGUGAGCCUAUGAUCGCCAAUAAAGGUCUGGAUCUCAGCCUGGGCUCUCUUCCUUGGAUCUAUGCUGAACCUAACUGGAAACUGGGUGGCAAGAGUUGAUACAGUCCACACAGGUCGGCCUCCUGGGCAGAGAUCAGAGUAGGACAGGAUGAAGAACACAUCUGGAGGGUCAAAGAGAAGCUAUGACACAGGGCUUCUCAUCCUCAGACUUUUUUCUGAAGGCAGAUGAAGCACCAAACCUCGGGUGAGCCAAUUAAGAACAAAUGGCGCAGUUACAGAAGACAGGAUGCAACCCUGCCACCUAUCUCUCUCUUUCAGAUGGUAAUCGUGUACCCAUACCACAGGACACUCCCCUUGGGUGCAUCUGCCAAACUGGGAAAAGUGUCCGUGUGCCUAAUUCUUCCUGGUUGUGUGACAAGACCUCGGACUGAGCUGAGCUAAGGAGCAGAAAAACUGCAACAAUAUGAGGGAAAAGACAGAAGGCAGACUGUGACAAAUGAAUUUAACUGUACUACAGAUGAAUUAGAUAACCACAAUGAAGAAGAUGGAAAGAAAGUUGAUGAUCUCCAUAACUUUAGAAAAUGCUUUGGCUUAAUAAUGCAAGGCUAAGGACAAAAAAUAAGUAUAUAUAGACAUAAACUUUAGUUGAUACAUUUGUUUCUCAGAGGGGAAGGAGCCAGAAAUUCUGAAACUACUUUAUUUGUAUAUUAGGGUUGAGCAAGCAAGUAAAUAUGUUAGAAUAUAAUGAGAACCAGGUUUCUCGCUGUCAAUGAAAGAAGCUACAAACAACAAAAAAAGGAAGGAUAAAAUGAACCGUGGUGUUGUAUAGGAGUUCUAGUUACCAAUGUGGAAUCGUGGUUUCUUUAAAACACAUCUAUCUACAUAAGUAGACAUAGAAACAAAUACAGAUGUGUAUAAGCAUGACUUUUUAUACAUAUGUAUUUUUUAUCUCUAUCUACUGAGAAAGCCAAAAGCAGCAGCACCCCAGUAGUCACAAAUAUCAGUGGCAUCCAGAUUUAGAUCUAUGAAUAUAAUUUUUCAAUUAAAAAGACAGGGCUCCUUGGAGGUCUACUUGACUCCAGGGUGAGGGUAAGAAAAAUUUAGGAGAAGUCUGAAGUAUCUGUGAUGACAGAAAAAAGAAAGCACUUAAAAAAUAAGGGAUAGAAGAGGGGAAACAAAGAAAAGAAUGGAGCAUAUAAAAAACACACAGGAACCAACCUAUCUGGGCACAAUGGUGUGCACCUGUAGUCCCAGGCACUUAGAAGGCUAAAGUGGGAAGAUCCCUUAAGCCCAGGAGUUCAAGCCCAGCUUGGGCAACAAAGCGAGACCCCAUCUCUUAAAAACAAAGAAGCCAAUAUGAAUGGUCAAAGUUGAAAAAUAUUGAAUAAGAAAAUAAAUAAUGAUAUUGUUAGAUUAUAAUGAAAAUAAUCAGAUAAUAUCCAUGAGCUUACACUAAUGCAAAUAAAUUAAUGGAUUAAUAAAAUAAAUAGAGGAAAAUACCAACUCUUCAGAAAAAAAUACAAUUAAUAAAGAUAGAAGGAAUGAUAGAAAUAUGAUAUUAUUACUAGAAUCUCAAAGGGAUAAUUGCUCCAGGUAAGAUCCAGCAGUGAAUGUUCAAAUUAGUGGAUAAAAAAAUAUUUUCCGAAACAGGAUAUUUGCAUAGUCUCUAAGUGCCUCUCUCAAAAUAAUUAGGAACCACAAAGAGAUAAAUAGUAAAUAUACCAUGGAGAGGCUAGCAGAUACAACCUUAGUCAAGUGAUCAAGGUGAGCCUCACCAGCAAUGACUUAUGUGAUAUGCCUCCUUCCCCUAUAUGAUAUUACCAAAGAGUACUUCACUUCUGUACUAUUCUUACCACAUAAUCCAUAACCACUGCCUGAACAUGGGAAAACAUCACACAAAUCAUUUGGUGGACACUCUACAAAAUAAAUAAUCAGUAUUCUUCCAAAUAUCAGCGUCAUGGAUAAGGGAGCCUAAGGAAUUGUCAUAGAGUACCUAAAACCAAAGAGACAUGUCACAUAAAUGCAAUGUGGGAUCCUGAACUGAAUUCUGAAACAAAGGAAAGGUCAUUAGUGAAAGACAGUAUUUUACCAAUGUUAAUUUCUUAGUUGUGAUCAAUAUUCCAUGUUAGAUGUUAAUGUAAGGGGAAACUAGGUAAGAGUAUAUAGGAAUUAUGUGUAGCAUUUUUGCAACUCUUCUGUAAUUCUGAAAUUAUUUCAAUUUUUAAAGGUUUUACCUAUGAAAGGGAUAAAGGAUUUAGGAUUAUGGGUCAGGGACAGCCAUUAGAUUUUUUUAAUGAAUACGUUUUGUGUAAUUAUGAUUUUUGAACUAUAUGAAGCUAUUAAUAAUUUAGAACUAAAUUUAAUGUUUUAAAAUAAAUACAAAUAAAAGGAGGUUUUUAAAAAAAUUUAUACUUUAGUUUCUAAAUUGUAUACAGGUUUUUCACAUGGAAUAUGAUAAAAUAAUAUGCACUAUUAGAAAGAAAAUAUGUAAAAAGUAUAACAAAAUUAAAAGAUUUAUGUAGAGUUGGUGGCAGAAAGUAUUCAAGCUUUGAGACCUCAUAACAUCAAAAUGAAGUUUCCAUUGCUAUUGUUUGUGAAGUACAAAAGUACAUUACCAGCUAUGUCAGAAAUAAUUUAGAGAUAAUAGGAAUACCCUGCCUUAAUUAAACUCUUAGUAAAUGUUCAAUGAAUGAGUCACUGUCAUGUUUCUCUGUCUCUUCUACAGACCUCAGUGGACUUGUUCCAAGGAAAAGGAAAGAGGGAUGGAGCAUGGUUUUAUGGCAGCCUUUCCCCAGAAUGAAAUAUACUUUGAGCACAUGAGCUCAUGAGCAGGAGAAAACUGAUCGGAAGGACAUGAUGGCCAUACAAACCUUGUCCUGCAAUAUUCUGCCAGCUUUUUCUCAAGAUGCAUAGAAACGUGAAGCAAGUGACAGCCACAUCACCAAUUUUAUCCAUAAUUACAAAAUGCAGCCCUAUUUCAGUGAUGUUCAAAGGGGACAGGUAGAAUGGCAGUUAUGAAAGCCAGAGGAAAUCAAGAUAUUUGGCUUCUAUGUGAUCUUAGUGUUUAUUAAGAACCUCCACACAGACAAAAGAUGUAAAAGGCCUGAUCCUAGACUGAGGGAAUUCAUGAUAUUGUCUCCAAAUUGUGUGAGAAAAAUUUGUGAUCCAUUCAAGUCCAUUUAUUUGACUUAGCCUCACAGAUACUUCCUCAAUUUUCCCUUCCACCAAGUUAGGAUCAAUAGCAUCUCCUGGGCAUGGAGCUGUCUUGGCAGUCUCUGAUCACUGAGCUUUCUCAGGAAGUACUCUGUCUUUUUGAGCAGAAGGAUUUUUAUAUUAAGGGGAAAGGUGGCUUGUACAUAGCCAUGAAGCAUAAGGAAAGGAGAAAAGCUAAUAUAAAAAUGUAUUGUUGAGAUCACUGCUAGGGCAACAGAGGCUCAAUUCCAUUGACAUGCUGAGAAGUAUACAGAAGGCCUCCCAGAAUUGUUCAACUUAAUGCUCAAAUACAGCACUUCAAUAACAAUUUGAGUGACCUAGGCUUGCAGCUGACAUAGUGUCCAGGUGAUUGCCAGCUAAUCAAAGUGAUGAAAUUUAUCAAUCUGAAAUAAUUCACCUGAAGAUGUACAGCUAUAGUACAUAUUAUGAAAUUAUUGGGAAGGUGCAAAUUAUAUAUUGUGGAAGUGAGUGAUCUAAAUAAAAAACUGCAAAGUAAGUUAACUAAUACAUGAAGCAUUUUAAAUCAAGCAAUUUUAAGAUGUUGAGUGAGAAAUAAACUAUCUAUAAAAAUAAAAGUAAGGGA